GAUCUGCCCUGCACUUCGGGAUAAGCCUGGGAAACUGGGUCUAAUACCGGAUAUACCUCAUGGAUCGCAUGGUUUGUGGGGGAAAGCUUUUGCGGUGUGGGAUGGGCCCGCGGCCUAUCAGCUUGUUGGUGAGGUUAUGGCUUACCAAGGCGACGACGGGUAGCCGGCCUGAGAGGGUGACCGGCCACACUGGGACUGAGAUACGGCCCAGACUCUACGGGAGGCAGCAGUGGGGAAUAUUGCACAAUGGGCGCAAGCCUGAUGCAGCGACGCCGCGUGAGGGAUGACGGCCUUCGGGUUGUAAACCUCUUUCAGCAGGGACGAAGCGAGAGUGACGGUACCUGUARAAGAAGGAMCRRCCAACUACGUGCCAGCAGCCGCGGUAAUACGUAGGGUCCGCGCGUUGUCCGGAAUUACUGGGCGUAAAGAGCUCGUAGGUGGUUUGUCGCGUCGUUCGUGAAAACUCACA
RNAcentral lists this ribosomal RNA (469 nucleotides) under Mycolicibacterium tusciae. Its description in RNAcentral is "bacterial SSU rRNA". It matches the Rfam family "Bacterial small subunit ribosomal RNA", at positions 123 to 606 of the family's 1533-position model. The record is from RNAcentral. Lineage: Bacteria; Bacillati; Actinomycetota; Actinomycetes; Mycobacteriales; Mycobacteriaceae.